GAGGACAUCUGCAAUCCUUAUGGUUCAUAAGGCAAGAAAGAAUGGACUACCCUUUUGGAAUAAGUUGCGGCAGUCUGAUACCAACCAAGUCGUUGUUGCCUUUGAGGCUUUCAGGCAGCUGAACCGUGUGUUUAUUCGUCCAAUGACAGCAAUCUCGGCAAUGCAUGACAUGCAUGAGGAUAUCUGCACCAGUGCUGAAAGGAAAAGGGCUGCA
RNAcentral lists this unclassified non-coding RNA (214 nucleotides) under Hevea brasiliensis (rubber tree). Lineage: Eukaryota; Viridiplantae; Streptophyta; Magnoliopsida; Malpighiales; Euphorbiaceae. The record is from RNAcentral.